This is a long non-coding RNA of Oxyura jamaicensis (ruddy duck), 1508 nucleotides long. RefSeq lists it as uncharacterized. The record is from RefSeq and is a predicted model, not a curated record. The transcript has 2 exons. NCBI's taxonomy places the organism in Eukaryota, Metazoa, Chordata, Aves, Anseriformes, Anatidae.
CAUUACAACUAAGAUACAAAUCUGUUUUUAACUUGUUAAUUCUGAACCUUUUCAGUUAUUCUCUUAAUAUUGACAGCUAAGUAUGCAAUUACACUGACAACGGAGUCUUUAUUUUCUAGAUGUAAAUGUCCUGCAUCCAUGAACUAGGGAAACUGAUUACAGAGUAUAUGCCCUUUGUACAAUCUUUCACCAGAGAUGUGAGAAAUAACAGUACCUCAAGUGCUCUUAUGACUGCCUGUGACCUUUUAUUGAAAAUUCUAUGAAACCACUGUGGAACAUCUCUUUUUUGGUUGAAAUAGAAAUGAGGGUUAAUGAGAAAUGAGGGUUAAACUCAGUGUUUUGUGAGUGAGUGUGGCUUUGAUCUUUCAUGACCUGAUCCCAAGUGCCACGCAACUUGUUGAGAAACAUCUGCACCCAACACUGGCACCCAUUGCUCUCACUCAUCAGUGUGUGAACGGGAACCUGAGGUAUCAGCCUGGAAAGUGAAUAAGUUACCUGCUGUAAACAGGGACUAAGAACAAAUGAGACUGUAAGCAAGGCAUGAACUUCAUUAGGUACAAUAUGAGUUGGGAAUGAAUCUCAUGUAGAAACAUUCAUGAGAGAUCCUUUCUAGUCCCUCCUCCCUGUGUGAAGGUCUGCAGUGAGAUCUCAGUUUUAUCCAUGUUCCAGCAGGUUUUGUUAGAGCUCUUUCUUGAAAAAAUAUUAUGUUUCCUGGAGAAGCAGUCUGGAAAAAAAGGCAUGCUGAAAGUUGAAAAUGCAAUCUCCUCUCACAUGAGAUAAAAAUGUGAGAACUGUGAAAUGCAGUAUGGAUUUUUUAGGUUAACUUACUUAGGAAUACCUUUAUUAAAUUACUCGAUUAAGGGGAAGUUUUUUGAUGUCUGAGGAUUUUUUUUUCAGUAUAAUUGAAUUUCUACAAUAGCUAGCUUUGCUCCUGCAUUUUCUUCUGAUGCCAUAGUGGAAAUUUGUAACAAAGAUAAGAUCAUAAAUGGAUAUUUUAAAAAUAAAUAAAUAAAUAAUGCCUAAGUGGAAUUUAGUCUCAUGCUUUGAAACUAGAGCAGAGGCAGACAUAAAUACUUUUAUCUGGGAGCAACCUUCAGUAUAUGAUUAUCAUAGUUAAUACGUCAAUAUGCUUUCUCAAUCUGCAGCUAGCCAUUGCUGAAACACUUGUUUUAAGUCAAUAAAACAGUAAGGCAAGCAGGACCAUUAGUGGGAUAAUUUGAUCAAUAUCCCUUUCUCCUUUAGAAGGGAAAACUCAGUACUAUUUUGUCUAAGUUCUCAUAUAUAAGAGCAAUGCUUCCAGCCAAAAAUAUAUACUGUUGCUAUUGCUUAAAGGCUGCAAUAAGCAACUACAUUGAAGUAUGUAUUAGAACUGCAAAGAGGUCAGGAAAAAUUCUUGCCCAGUCUUGAAAACCUCGCAGUCAGGGAAAACCUCACAAUCAGGCCCCAAGACUGCCAUUUCAUUCAAACAGACUGAUGUGUUAUAAUCCUUAUAGUUACAUCCUUCUGAA